AUCCGGGUUUUGGUUUGUGGAGAUCCCUCCCGCUACACCAUCUUUCAUAUUGUUUAACACCAGUUUGUUUAUUUAUUUAUUUAUUUGAAAUUAGUUGUUGAAAUUAAUAAAAGGUUAUAACAUUGAUCUGUCAUAUUGUAACGGCCACUUUAAUAUUGUAAAUGUUUGUGUUACUGUGCCUUUAGGAGAGUUCUGCUGAUGUAUGCACUUAGACAGCUGAGUGCGCAUGCGCCAGACAGAGCUAGCGCGAAGUUGCCUUCUUAGUUGAGCAAACCAACGUUUUUCUUUUGUUUUGUGACGAGAACCGAGUGUUUUGUUUCUCCUUCGUUUUUACUCCGUUUAUAUGUGUGUAUGCUGGAUGUGAUUGCUGAAGAGGAUCAAAUACAAAGGCUUUUUUGGGAUAACUUGCUGUGUGCCUCGAGUGUUUAUUCCCUUUUUAAGUCACCUUGUUUUUCUCCGGGUCAAACCUAACACUCCGACCACGUUACAAUAUGUAUGACUUUAUUCCUAAAUGUGUUAGGAGAAGAACUUAAAACUCACCCUCCCUCAGAAUGAACUUUCGCCAAUGAUGUUAUCUACAACAUCACGCACACACACACACACACACACACACACACACACCCCUGAGCGGACACGUACCCCCACAUGUAGGUAAAAAAAAAAGAGAAUUUCCGAAAAUUUGGUUAUGUCUUCAAGUCUUUGGAAAUCCAACAUCAGAACAGAACUUCUAUAUCUCCUUCUAAACAUUAAGAGAGCAUUGCAUUUUUAUCAGAACAAGACCAGCAUAUGUGACACGAUUGUCUAUGAAAACGUAUCAAACAAAACGAGGUACUCCAGGACAGUUGUAUUGAGAUUAUUUACGACAGCAAGUAUCCCGGAAUGUACAUGCGAACCUAAGAACGGUGGAACAUCAUGGAUCAGAUGUUUUGUAUGCUGGUGCUAACGUACUGUAGUUGGCUGUGGUGUCUUCGAAGGAGAAGAAAAUAUAAGAAAAAAUUUGAAUUUCUAAUGAUGUUGGAUUUCCAAAGCCUUGAAGACAUAACCAAAUUUUCGGAAAUUCUCUUUUUUUUUUUUUACCUACAUGUGGGGGUGAUUGUAUAGCUCACUAUUUGAAGACGGUUCACUCUGAAAGUCAAACACUUGAUAAAAAAAAAAAUAACAAGAUCCAAAUCAAUCAGCACAUUCAGAGACUUUGACCAAUAAAUAUAUCAAUACUUCACUUGGAGGCUGUGGUGGGACCACAUUGAAACCAUGAAGAUCGUUUUGGACUGCAAUUAAAUUUCAAUAAAAAAAUAAAAUGACUUCCCUAGUUACACAGUUGCACUUUUUUUGCACCAUAUAGCCACAUGACUCACCAUCAUUACCUCACCAUCUCUUCCAACGAAUGCUGUAUGCUGACAACAGUGCCACCUGCUGACCACAAAUAGAAAGUGCCUCAUUCAAGUAGAUGAGAACCACGCUGAGGGACGGGAGCUGCUCCGGAUACACCUUUGUCGAACACCUAUCAGAAAUGUGAUGGUUAGCAGGUGAGAGGAAACAGGAGAACCCAGAGGAACCCCAUACAGACAACAGGAGAAACUCCAGAGACUGUAUCCCGAGCUCAGGAUGGGACAUGAUCCUACUCCGGUCCUGUAAGGCAGCAACACUGUACCACUCUGUACUGUUCCACUAAACACUCUUACACUCUUUUAAUUGCACAAAUGUAGAAUAAAGUGGAUCUUUUAGUUAAGAACCAUUUACUGAAUUUUUUUUUAUAGAAUGAAAAAUGCUUGUCUGUGGCAUCAGAGCGAAUACUCUGAUUUGGUUCUUCAUGACACCUUUACGUUUAUGGCAUUUGGCAGACAUCCUUAUCCAGAGCGACUUACACUUUAUCUAAUUUUUUUAUACAACUGAGAGUUAAGGGCCUUGCUCAGGGGCCCCAAAAGUGGCAGCUUGGUAGGGAUUCAAACUGGCAACCUUCCCACUUUCGCAUGGUGAUCCAACACCGUAACCACAAGGCUACCGCAUCUCCCAAAGCGUAUCAGAAUGUACAACAUUUACAGCAUUUGACAGACGUUCUUAUCCAGAGCGACCUACAUUUUUAUCUCAUUUCAUUCAGUUGAGGAUUGAGGACCUUAAACACUAAGCUCCCACAUCCACCUUUAUUUUUAAGAGCGUAUGCUUAACUCAGGUCAGUGCAUUUCAGACUAUAGUAAAUUGGCCCUAGAUACAAACAUGUGUGUGUGUGUGUG
Molecule: long non-coding RNA, 2231 nt
Organism: Tachysurus fulvidraco (yellow catfish)
Lineage: Eukaryota; Metazoa; Chordata; Actinopteri; Siluriformes; Bagridae
Exons: 8
Source: RefSeq, a predicted model, not a curated record